Molecule: ribosomal RNA, 253 nt
Filed under: uncultured bacterium
Lineage: Bacteria
Description: partial 16S ribosomal RNA
Rfam family: Bacterial small subunit ribosomal RNA
Source: RNAcentral
UACGUAGGGGGCAAGCGUUGUCCGGAUUUAUUGGGCGUAAAGAGCGUGUAGGCGGCUAGGUAGGUCCGUUGUGAAAACUCGAGGCUCAACCUCGAGACGUCGAUGGAAACCAUCUAGCUAGAGUCCGGAAGAGGAGAGUGGAAUUCCUGGUGUAGCGGUGAAAUGCGCAGAUAUCAGGAAGAACAUCCGUGGCGAAGGCGGCUCUCUGGUACGUGACUGACGCUGAGACGCGAAAGCGUGGGGAGCAAACAGG